Bactrocera latifrons is the source of this 1173-nucleotide long non-coding RNA. RefSeq lists it as uncharacterized. Lineage: Eukaryota; Metazoa; Arthropoda; Insecta; Diptera; Tephritidae. The record is from RefSeq and is a predicted model, not a curated record. The transcript has 3 exons.
UUUACAAACAUACCUAUACAUACAUACAUGUAAUAGAUCAUAAUGAGAGAACAGUAAAAUCGACGCGAAGAUAACAAGUGACUGCAUUUGCGUAUGCUAUCUAACUUAUCCACUGCCAGUUAUUCCACACCGGAGUACACGGAUCGGCCGCUCGACUGCCAAACGCUGCGCGUUGGACUAACUAACUGUCAUUUUGCGGAAUUUCCUUUAUUAUCGCCAAUGUGUUUUAAUUUCUUUUAUUCUGUAGUCUCUUUAUUGUGUGUGUUUUAAUUGUGCAAAAAAAAAUAUUGAAACAAAAAAUGCUAGAGAAUCAAUGGGAACAACAUCCAGGUGUCUGAUAAGUGUCAUAGUGCUUGCGCCCUACRUACAUAUGUAUGUACUAUAUAUAAUUGCAGAUAAAAUGUAUUAAAGUAAACAACUGUGUACCUAUAAACUAAAUGUGCUAUGUGCCAGUUUUGAAGAAAUACGCGAUUGUUAUAAUUUGCUGUGAUGAUUAAGAAUGUUAAUUAAACGUUUAGCUAAUCAGAGUACGCCUUAUACAUUUUGACAAACAUAUUACACAUAUAUCCAUAUGAAUGUUUAUAUUGUGUGUUUGUAAAAAAUUUUAACACUUAAUAGCUCUCACCUUACGUCAAACAGAAAUUUUGGUGAACCUGUUAUAAUUUUAAUUACCGUUAAUGCAUACACUAACAGUCUGGUCGGCACUCUACAGUAGGCGCACGCGUUCCGCUUAUGAAGUAGAUUUCCAAAAAUUAUAAAGCUUUGGUGAAAGUUUGGGAAUGGGAAAGUGAAGUUAACCCUACAUACAUAUCCAUACAUAAAUGAAGUUUAAAGCUGAGUUUGAGGUUUAACCAAUUCUUUUGAAGAUUAUUUGGGGCAAAAAUAAAUUUUAAACAGUAAUUGAAGUCGCUGCUACCACAAAUCAUUAAUUAUUGUGUUUAAUACAAAAUAAAAAAAUUACAGUUAAAAAAAAACUGUCUAUCGAACUAAAUGAAAGGGUUUUAACAUUACAUUAGAAUAUGGAAUAAGCACAGUACUCACACGAUUAGAAUGUAUGUACAUAUGUAUGUACGUAUGUUAAGCCGCACACCUAUAUCUCUCACACAUACACACCAUCAUACAUACAUACAAACAUAUGUAGAUGCAGGCUAAAGACAAGUAAUUUUGAAAAAG